CCUGGUGGCUCAGUCGGUAAAGAAUCUGCUUGCAAUGCGGAAGACCCAGGUUCAAUCCCUGGGUCAGGA
This 69-nucleotide transfer RNA is filed under the name Bos taurus (domestic cattle). It matches the Rfam family "tRNA". Rfam says of the family: Transfer RNA (tRNA) molecules are approximately 80 nucleotides in length. Their secondary structure includes four short double-helical elements and three loops (D, anti-codon, and T loops). Lineage: Eukaryota; Metazoa; Chordata; Mammalia; Artiodactyla; Bovidae. The record is from Rfam by way of RNAcentral. RNAcentral also lists the same sequence under 1 other name.